CUGAAGGGUUAUAUCAAGAAGUCGAAUGAGGAAGUAACGCUCUGAAAGGCUUCCCCUGCGUCGAAUUGCACGUUUUUCAGUAAGGAAAAGCGUGAGCUCGGUUAAUAGGCAUGAGAAUUUACCGUAACAGUUUCGGCUGACGAAAGCCUACCCGAUGGGGUGGUGUAAAUCAUGGUGCUUGGGUUGAACAG
Molecule: non-coding RNA, 191 nt
Organism: Bacillus cereus E33L
Lineage: Bacteria; Bacillati; Bacillota; Bacilli; Caryophanales; Bacillaceae
Source: Rfam